UACGUAGGGUGCAAGCGUUAAUUGGAAUUACUGGGCGUAAAGCGUGCGCAGGCGGUGAUGUAAGACAGGGGUGAAAUCCCCGGGCUUAACCUGGGAACUGCAUUUGUGACUGCAUCGCUGGAGUGCGGCAGAGGGGGAUGGAAUUCCGCGUGUAGCAGUGAAAUGCGUAGAUAUGCGGAGGAACACCGAUGGCGAAGGCAAUCCCCUGGGCCUGCACUGACGCUCAUGCACGAAAGCGUGGGGAGCAAACAGG
Molecule: ribosomal RNA, 253 nt
Filed under: uncultured bacterium
Lineage: Bacteria
Description: partial 16S ribosomal RNA
Rfam family: Bacterial small subunit ribosomal RNA
Source: RNAcentral